Molecule: ribosomal RNA, 435 nt
Filed under: uncultured Lachnospiraceae bacterium
Lineage: Bacteria; Bacillati; Bacillota; Clostridia; Lachnospirales; Lachnospiraceae
Description: bacterial SSU rRNA
Rfam family: Bacterial small subunit ribosomal RNA
Source: RNAcentral
ACGGAAGGCAGCAGUGGGGGAUAUUGCACAAUGGGCGCAAGCCUGAUGCAGCGACGCCGCGUGAGUGAAGAAGUAUUUCGGUAUGUAAAGCUCUAUCAGCAGGGAAGAAAAUGACGGUACCUGACUAAGAAGCUCCGGCUAAAUACGUGCCAGCAGCCGCGGUAAUACGUAUGGAGCAAGCGUUAUCCGGAUUUACUGGGUGUAAAGGGAGCGUAGGCGGUGAUGCAAGUCAGAAGUGAAAACCCGGGGCUCAACCCCGUGGAUUGCUUUUGAGACUGUGUUGCUGGAGUACAGGAGGGGCAGGCGGAAUUCCUGGUGUAGCGGUGAAAUGCGUAGAUAUUAGGAGGAACACCAGUGGCGAAGGCGGCUUACUGGACGGUAACUGACGUUGAGGCUCGAAAGCGUGGGGAGCAAACAGGAUUAGAUACCCUGGUA